Molecule: ribosomal RNA, 468 nt
Filed under: uncultured bacterium
Lineage: Bacteria
Description: SSU rRNA
Rfam family: Bacterial small subunit ribosomal RNA
Source: RNAcentral
GAUGAACGCUGGCGGCGUGCCUAACACAUGCAAGUCGAGCGAGAAGCUCAUGAUUGAAACUUCGGUCGAAAGAAUGAGCGGAAAGCGGCGGACGGGUGAGUAACGCGUGGGCAACCUGCCUCACACAGAGGGAUAGCCAUUGGAAACGAUGAUUAAAACCUCAUAAUGCAUUUUAUCCACAUGGAUAGAAUGCCAAAGAUAUAUCGGUGUGAGAUGGGCCCGCGUCUGAUUAGUUAGUUGGUGAGGUAACGGCUCACCAAGGCAGCGAUCAGUAGCCGACCUGAGAGGGUGAUCGGCCACAUUGGAACUGAGACACGGUCCAAACUCCUACGGGAGGCAGCAGUGGGGAAUAUUGCACAAUGGGCGAAAGCCUAAUGCAGCAACGCCGCGUGAGCGAUGAAGGCCCUCGGGUCGUAAAGCUCUGUCCUUGGGGAAGAAAAAAAUGACGGUACCCUUGGAGGAAGCCCC